Molecule: ribosomal RNA, 465 nt
Filed under: uncultured Klebsiella sp.
Lineage: Bacteria; Pseudomonadati; Pseudomonadota; Gammaproteobacteria; Enterobacterales; Enterobacteriaceae
Description: bacterial SSU rRNA
Rfam family: Bacterial small subunit ribosomal RNA
Source: RNAcentral
CCUACGGGUGGCAGCAGUGGGGAAUAUUGCACAAUGGGCGCAAGCCUGAUGCAGCCAUGCCGCGUGUGUGAAGAAGGCCUUCGGGUUGUAAAGCACUUUCAGCGGGGAGGAAGGCGGUGAGGUUAAUAACCUCAUCGAUUGACGUUACCCGCAGAAGAAGCACCGGCUAACUCCGUGCCAGCAGCCGCGGUAAUACGGAGGGUGCAAGCGUUAAUCGGAAUUACUGGGCGUAAAGCGCACGCAGGCGGUCUGUCAAGUCGGAUGUGAAAUCCCCGGGCUCAACCUGGGAACUGCAUUCGAAACUGGCAGGCUAGAGUCGUGUAGAGGGGGGUAGAAUUCCAGGUGUAGCGGUGAAAUGCGUAGAGAUCUGGAGGAAUACCGGUGGCGAAGGCGGCCCCCUGGACAAAGACUGACGCUCAGGUGCGAAAGCGUGGGGAGCAAACAGGAUUAGAUACCCUUGUAGUC